GGAAGUAAAGUCGUAACAAGGUCUCCGUUGGUGAACCAGCGGAGGGAUCAUUACCGAGUUCCAGCAACUCCCAACCCUUGCGAACCGUACCCCAGUCUGUUCUCGUUGCUUCCGGCAGGCGGGGGGGGCCACCUGGCCCCUCCCCCUGCCGGGGGCGGCGGGCCCUCUGAACCCUUAUAUCUCAACCACUGAAACCCGUCUGAGCAAAACAAAAAAUAAUCAAAACUUUCAACAACGGAUCUCUUGGCUCUG
This 252-nucleotide unclassified non-coding RNA is filed under the name plant metagenome. RNAcentral describes it as "partial contains small subunit ribosomal RNA, internal transcribed spacer 1, and 5.8S ribosomal RNA". The stretch from base 1 to 53 matches the Rfam family "Eukaryotic small subunit ribosomal RNA", at positions 1778 to 1831 of the family's 1831-position model. The record is from RNAcentral.